RNAcentral lists this ribosomal RNA (253 nucleotides) under uncultured bacterium. RNAcentral's name for it is "partial 16S ribosomal RNA". It matches the Rfam family "Bacterial small subunit ribosomal RNA", at positions 524 to 776 of the family's 1533-position model. The record is from RNAcentral.
UACGGAGGGUGCGAGCGUUGUCCGGAAUCAUUGGGCGUAAAGCGCGCGUAGGCGGCCCGAUAAGUCUGCUGUGAAAGUCCAGGGCUCAACCCUGGAAUGCCGGUGGAUACUGUCGGGCUAGAGUUCGGAAGAGGCAAGUGGAAUUCCUGGUGUAGCGGUGGAAUGCGCAGAUAUCAGGAGGAACACCUAUAGCGAAGGCAGCUUGCUGGGACGACACUGACGCUGAGGCGCGAAAGCGUGGGGAGCGAACAGG